GAUGAACGCUAGCGGCAGGCUUAACACAUGCAAGUCGAGGGGCAGCGCGGGAUAGCAAUAUCCUGGCGGCGACCGGCGGAAGGGUGCGUAACGCGUGAGCGACAUGCCCGUUGCCCGGGGACAACCGGUGGAAACGCCGACUAAUCCCCGAUGGGAUAUUGUGCCGCAUGGCACGAUAUUGAAAGUUACGGCGGCGACGGAUUGGCUCGCGUCCGAUUAGCUUGUUGGCGGGGUAACGGCCCACCAAGGCUGCGUUCGGUAGGGGUUCUGAGAGGAAGGCCCCCCACAAUGGGACUGAGACACGGCCCAUACUCCUACGGGAGGCAGCAGUGAGGAAUAUUGGUCAAUGGGCGGAAGCCUGAACCAGCCAUGCCGCGUGCGGGAAGGAGGCCCUAUGGGCUGUGAACCGCUUUUGCCUGGGGGCAAUAAGGGCGUCGCGCACGUCCGAUGAGAGUACCAGGCGAAUAAGCAUCGGCUAACUCCGUG
RNAcentral lists this ribosomal RNA (486 nucleotides) under uncultured bacterium. Its description in RNAcentral is "partial 16S ribosomal RNA". It matches the Rfam family "Bacterial small subunit ribosomal RNA", at positions 28 to 507 of the family's 1533-position model. The record is from RNAcentral.